UACGUAGGGUGCAAGCGUUAAUCGGAAUUACUGGGCGUAAAGCGUGCGCAGGCGGUUUUGUAAGUCAGAUGUGAAAGCCCCGGGCUUAACCUGGGAACUGCGUUUGAAACUACAAGGCUAGAGUGUGGCAGAGGGGGGUGGAAUUCCACGUGUAGCAGUGAAAUGCGUAGAGAUGUGGAGGAACACCGAUGGCGAAGGCAGCCCCCUGGGUUAACACUGACGCUCAGGCACGAAAGCGUGGGGAGCAAAC
Molecule: ribosomal RNA, 250 nt
Filed under: uncultured bacterium
Lineage: Bacteria
Description: partial 16S ribosomal RNA
Rfam family: Bacterial small subunit ribosomal RNA
Source: RNAcentral